UGGGGAAUUUUGGACAAUGGGGGAAACCCUGAUCCAGCCAUCCCGCGUGUGCGAUGAAGGCCUUCGGGUUGUAAAGCACUUUUGGCAGGAAAGAAACGUCAUGGGUUAAUACCCCGUGAAACUGACGGUACCUGCAGAAUAAGCACCGGCUAACUACGUGCCAGCAGCCGCGGUAAUACGUAGGGUGCAAGCGUUAAUCGGAAUUACUGGGCGUAAGCGUGCGCAGGCGGUUCGGAAAGAAAGAUGUGAAAUCCCAGAGCUCAACUUUGGAACUGCAUUUUUAACUACCGGGCUAGAGUGUGUCAGAGGGAGGUGGAAUUCCGCGUGUGGCAGUGAAAUGCGUAGAUAUGCGGAGGAACACCGAUGGCGAAGGCAGCCUCCUGGGAUAACACUGACGCUCAUGCACGAAAGCGUGGGGAGCAAACAGG
Molecule: ribosomal RNA, 428 nt
Filed under: Acidobacteriota bacterium
Lineage: Bacteria; Pseudomonadati; Acidobacteriota
Description: Acidobacteria bacterium partial 16S ribosomal RNA
Rfam family: Bacterial small subunit ribosomal RNA
Source: RNAcentral